Molecule: ribosomal RNA, 564 nt
Filed under: uncultured bacterium
Lineage: Bacteria
Description: bacterial SSU rRNA
Rfam family: Bacterial small subunit ribosomal RNA
Source: RNAcentral
UACGGGAGGCAGCAGUGGGGAAUUUUCCGCAAUGGGCGAAAGCCUGACGGAGCAAUACCGCGUGAGGGAGGAAGGCUCUUGGGUUGUAAACCUCUUUUCUCAGGGAAGAAGCUCUGACGGUACCUGAGGAAUCAGCAUCGGCUAACUCCGUGCCAGCAGCCGCGGUAAUACNGGAGGAUGCAAGCGUUAUCCGGAAUGAUUGGGCGUAAAGCGUCCGCAGGUGGCGAUUCAAGUCUGCUGUCAAAGGUCGGGGCUCAACCCUGAACAGGCGGUGGAAACUGAACAGCUAGAGUGCGGUAGGGGUAGAGGGAAUUCCCGGUGUAGCGGUGAAAUGCGUAGAGAUCGGGAAGAACACCAGUGGCGAAAGCGCUCUACUAGGCCUGCACUGACACUCAGGGACGAAAGCUAGGGGAGCGAAUGGGAUUAGAUACCCCAGUAGUCCUAGCCNGUAAACGAUGGAUACUAGGCGUGGCUUGUAUCGACCCGAGCCGUGCCGGAGCUAACGCGUUAAGUAUCCCGCCUGGGGAGUACGCGCGCAAGCGUGAAACUCAAAAGAAUUGACGG